RNAcentral lists this long non-coding RNA (10698 nucleotides) under Setaria viridis. Its description in RNAcentral is "long non-coding RNA (SVIR_LNC005215)". Lineage: Eukaryota; Viridiplantae; Streptophyta; Magnoliopsida; Poales; Poaceae. The record is from RNAcentral.
UUACACUGCUGAUCCAAAAUUGGAGUGCAGAUCUGACAUUAACAAAGGAAAAUAUGGGCAUUCGAAACCGAUUUUGGGUGGAUUUGUCGACCUCCCGCAAUUUUGAAGCAGAUUUCAGUCCGAAUUGCAAUAGAAACUGCGAUCUGUCAAGGCUAAAGAAUCUUCAUAUAAUCAAUCCAGCUGCAAACGAACUACACGUAUACAAAGUCUACGAUAAGCUAUGUACUGGACUGGACACAUUGGCCCAAAGGAACCAAAAACAAAAAACGCCCGACUCUAUCAAGAAACGUGGUGGACGGACUGCAGGACGGCCUCGGCGACCAUCCCCAGAUGGUGCAGCGCGGCGGCGGCGGAGACAGGCACGCUGCCGAGCACGAGCGCGGCGACGGCGAUGGCGACGCUGGGCCUGGUGCCCAUGAGGGCCAGUUGCAGCGCGCCGACGAUGCCGGACACGUCGGCGACGUAGGCCGGGUAGUACCGCUUCUCCCAGGCCGCCCACCCCGCGGGCGCCUCGUAGUUGGACUCCGCCAUCCGCGCCUCCCGGAUCCGCCGCCGCAGCACGGACAUGCCCUCGUCCACCAGCGCGCCGCCGUACUGGCCCCGCCCGCCGCUCGCGCUCCGCCGGAACGCCGCGCAGCGCGUCGUCGGCGCGGCCGGUGAUCUCCGCCUCGCCGGCAGCGCUGGGCCGUGGCACGCCCCGUGCCGGAGCCCCGCCGGCGUCGUCGGAAGCGAGAUGGGUGAAGCAGCCAUGGUGAAUCAGCUCAAGAACUGAUCUUUUGUAACUCAGGCAAGAAAGAAAGCACUUCACAAAUCACACUACAGAAAUGGACCAAGGGAAGAAGAGCCAAUCAAAGCUGAUGGGUCGAGAGAAGAAUCACACGAAGAUGAUGAGAGUUUCUGAGCCCAGAUGGGCGUGCAUUUAUAGGCACCGGGGGGCCUCACGCGUCCUGAGGUAGACGAAGCCUAGUUUAAGAGGGCAAACGCGUGAUUAGUUCCCGCUCCAGCCAACCGGAGGCUGACGCGUGGAGGGAUCACACCAUAAGAAACUAGUACCACUACCAGUGCUAGUACUAUGGACGGUGAUCUGGACAUAGUAUAUUCGGCAUCGGCAUGGCCCGGACAAUCAUGAACAGAAACAACGCCUCUGCUGCCGCCUCCCCAGACCCCAUCAUUGAGCUGACUUCAACUGUUAACGUAGAAAACCCGUCUGGGCGGCGGAUUGUAUAUUGCUUCGUCCAUAAUGCUGGGAUACUCGCGCGGCCAGAUGCUGCGCAGAAGCCAGGACGGUGCAGCUUCCUUCUGCGGUAAAGAAGAGAAGGGUCAGAUAUGAAGGGAAAUUACUAGAUGGUAUAAGAUAUGGCUUCAAUUAGAAACCAGAUGUAAUUUAGAUGGCUGUGCGCAUAUUUUUUCGGUUAAUUUUGAUGGCUGUUGAUCAAUGGAACAGCUCGUGCAGAACAUUCGGUCAGGGCAUGGUCAAGGAGAUACUAGCAUAUGUUUCACGAUUUCUCCACCAAAUACCUGCUUCAAUGGUUCAGUAGGAUUUGGUGUAUUUUUGCAUCCACCAAUGUGUAUUAAUGCAAAUAUAAGGUACAGAGGAUCCUCUUUCCUAUGUUUGAACGAGGUCAUAGAAGGACUUUUAGGAGGUACGAGCAUAUGUUUCAUGCCUUCAAUACCAAUACAUCACCAGUUCAGCAGAGUACUCAUGAGAUAUGCAUAUGUUUCACGCUUCUGCUAUGAUUGUUUCAGAAUUUAGCUGAUACAUUUGAACUACAUCAUAAAGAUUUGGAUCCAAAUUCCCCACUAUCCAAAUAAGAAGGGGGCCUAAGAUGGGUUUUCAAGCUAUCAAUGUGAUCCACUCAAGUAACCAACGAUCUGUGAUGGUCAGCUCGGAUCAGCUCGACUAUAGCAAUGAAGAGAUGCAUGACUUCACAUAUGUAGCUAACAAGUUUCAGUCAGUGACAUGGACUACUGAGUUACCCAAAUUGUUAAGACUCAUUACUGUACUAUGAUUACGUUGCAGUAUGUUCCCACGCAAAGCCAUUUUUUAUCGAAUUGGGGCCAUUGCAAGAAAUGAUUGGUGCAAAGAUUCCCUACCUUAUUUUAUUUGUUGGAGGACAAGUCUCUGAUGAAAUGCUUAUUCCACCUGCUGUUUAUUUUGAUCAUCUUCCAGUGGGGGCAGGAGUGGCUGAUACUUUGGUCUGUUUUUCUUCAGAAGAAGGUAGGUUGACCAGUACCAGAACAUUAGAAUCCUGCCCUGUGCAACUAGCGUGUCUGCAAUUCGGAUCCCUCCUAAUGAAAACCUCUCCAGGGCCUGCCACAUAAAAAGUAACGCAUCAAAACUAGAAUAUUUCUUCAAAUAAAAUUAUGAAAUUUUUUAUGGCAGUUGGCUUGGAAUUAACAAGACAAAUAGAAGCUGGUAGGUUGACCAAUAACAACAAUUCAAUCUGCAGUACUUUUCCCCAAUAAAAAGCAAAUAAACACUAUAAUUUGUGGUUAUCAUGGGGUUAACAAAUACCCACAAUAAUUCUAUCCAUGUAUAACAAAAGACUUUAGUAUACAUCACAAAAUUUCAAGCCAAGUAAUUUACUAAUUUUCCCUUGAAUCUGACCAAGUUUUUUAAUGUUAGGGUAAGAAUUGUUUUUCUAGUGAAUAAUUAAUACCUGUUCACCAGUUUGAAUAUCAUAGGAAUGUUGUUGCUCAAAUUGCAGACCCUUGAACUCAUUGAUGCAAAGCCCUUGGAAGGCCCUGAAAAUUAAUGACAAAAAAGUAGUAUAAAGUUGUUAGGUAUGAUCACUAUGCUAGACAUAAAUUGAUAUCACAAGAAGAAAUGAAGAAUACCAUCUAAUGAGUGAUAUUCUUGGGAUCCAACGAAAUAUGACUGGAGUAUUGUCAGGGUUAACAUAGUAUCCUCCAAAUACAAUAAACACAGUCAUAAGGGAUGGCCCAAGAGCCAUUGCAGCUUCGGUUGUAGGAGCCAUUGCUCCAACAGUGAGACCCAUUGCUGAUGCAGCAAAUGACUCUACAGUCACAAUACCACAGAAUUUGGCGAAUCUGAUACAGAGUGUGAAAUAUUCUUUAGAUAAUCAUAAACAAAAAUGCGCUAAAACGCAUAACAUGAUGUUUCUGCAUUGCCAAAUAAGAUUCAGAAUUACACUGACCUAGAAAAUGUAGGAUGUAGUUUAGCCAUUGGAUAGAGAAUCGAUCCAAAUAUCAACGGAAAUGCUGCUCCAAUGGGAAUCUCGGCCAACAACUUGGAUGAAAGAUAUGGUCCAAGCGCAUAGGAACCUUUUGCACGUUCUCUGUCAACUAUAGUCCGUUCUUUCGGGAAAACUCCCAGAGUCUUUGUCAGUGCAGCCAUUGCUGUGUUUAUGGCAGCCACCUUAACUCAAAUAUUGAAAAUGAGAAAUAUCAAAUUCGAGAAAUGUUCAGAUAAUAUUUCAAGAACAACUUCUUGAAGAUACAACUGAAAACAAUCAUAUGAGAAGCCAAAUGCUAGAAGACAAUGAGAAUAUUAGAUAUAUCUUGAAUGCAAAAUAUGUACAAACUAGCAAUUCAACUCAAGAAACCAUCAAAAGGUUCACAAUAUUCUACCUGAAGUAGUCCCAUCCGGUCUUGUAUGGAUGUUUGAGAUUUCCCCAUUCGCCAGAACACUGAUCCAAAUAUAACUGCUGAAGCAGCAGACAUUCGUGCUCUCACUUUGUUUGUUGGUCCAUCACGAAAAGCCUGAACACAAAAGGCCCUAAGCAUUGUAAGAAGCAACUGAUGACAAGAGAUAGUCAAGCUUCAUCUUAACAUGUGUAUUCAACUGUCCCCAAAUAUCUUAUAGCUGUACAAGUACGGGAUUUCAAGUUUUGAACAUGCUUCUCCAAUCUCGUUAUUAUCAUGGGUUUCCUGUCCCAUUAAUUUAUCUCAUGCGAAGUUAUGAACAAUAAACUGUAUGUUUCAUAAAGAUCAGAAUUAGGUAAUAGGUCGAUGUAACAGAUAUUUUAGGUACAGAAUGUUAAAAUCACGGUCAGCUCAAGUCAUAAGCUAAACCUGAAAGUUCUGAAUUGGUAGCCUACAAAAUUGACCUACUGAGACUAAAAGAAAAUGACAAAACAAGCUGAGUAAUAUGGAGAAACUAGCCUUUUAAUGUGCCUAAAAACCAUCACACAAAAAGGUGAAAGUGUCUACCUGUGUCAAGGCAUCAAUAGAAAAAGAAAUAAUCAACAUAAAAGGGUGAAGCUGGGAAACACAAUGAAAAGAUAUAGAUUUAUUGAGAUGAACCUGCAUCCAUGCUCGCUUAAAAAGCAAACGAAAUUGUCUCCACCAACCACGCCUUUGCUUCAUACUAGACUUCUGAACAGCUUUGGCAGAAAAUUCAGAUUCCUCUGGUUUUGCAAUUGAACCGUUACCUUCAGUGGCCAGGGCUUUAUUAGAAAAGGCCUCAAUGAGGUUCUCAAUCCUUUUCUGCGAUGACUGUACGCUUUCAGCUGAGCCAUAAUCAACGGAAAUGAGAUCAGCCAAGAAUUCAGCAGGGUUCAUAUGAUCUGGACACUGAUACCUGAUAAAGUAUCAAAGUUCAAGUUAUUAAUUGAAAAUGACAUAGUGACCAUAUACGCCCUCCGUCCCAAAUUACUAUUCUUUUUGGCUUUUCUAUAUAUGGUAUGUCUAAGUACGUAGCAAAAGUCAUGUAACUAGAAAAGCCAAAACGAAUAGUAAUUUGGGACGGAGGGAGUACAUAGCAAAAUGCAAACAUUGAAAAUGCACACAGAGGCCAGAAACAUGCUGCAUGGCAUAAACAGGCAACGAUCAGCCCUUUCAAAGUUCAAGCAUAGUUAAUAUUGAAAUCUCGAUGGAAUCACAAGAAGGAUGAAUGUAGUGUGUUUCAAAGUAAUUAGUUUUAUUUGAGCAAAUGCAAACAUUGAAAAUGCACACAUGAUGGCCAGUAGAUUGUUUUGUUAUAUUCAAAAUAAGAAUAGGUUUGAGUAGGGUUGCCUGUUCAAUGUUCAGGACCAGAUAUGAAUUAUUUAUUAUGCACGACCAGGCAAGCAAAAAAGUGAGCACACACAAAAAAUAUGCAGGGCAACAUUCAAUUCAAGCAGAAAUCAUGAUAAUUACAUACUUAAGAAAACAAUAAGAAAAGUCAGGAAGGAUUGGGAAGGAUGUAGCAUAGCAACCCUAAUGAUGCGAAGUACGUUAGAGGUUCUUCUUUUGCAGGCCCCAUGUAUACAAUUUCUCCCUCUGAAAGUAGCACAAUGUCAUCAAAUUUGCCGUAGACUGAACCUCUUGGCUGAUGUAUAGAGCAGAUAACAGUGUGCCCAUCCUCAGCAAGCUGUCUAAGAGUCUCCAUGACCUUUUCUGCUUGGAAAGCAUCAAGACCUAAAAGACAGAUCACAAACAUGCAAAAAAUCAUAACUUCAUAUUUGUCAUUUCCCAUCUUGUCAAAUGACCAAAAAGAUAUUGAUGAUUAAUAUUUAAAAUGGAAUUUUUAAAAUUUUAUGCUAGCUCCCAUGGAUAUAAGAAUUGAAAGAAUGUAAAGCAUUCAACAAUAGGACUGAGCGGCCAAUGUCACAAGAUGGUGAGAGAGGAAAAAAGGAACUCUGAAUAGUAAUAAAAAAAAGAUUCAAAACACUAGUCAACUAAGUUAUAUUUCAGUUAAAAAAAGUAAGUUAAGUUCUUUACGUUUCACAAUUACAUAUUUAGAAUAUCUUCAACAUAAAUGUUUUCGAUAAUACCGACAAUUUAUUUUCAUCUGAUUCCCAGUAUCAUAUAUUAGAGGCACUGUUAGAUUUCUAAGACAUGAUAAAAAAUAUAGAAUACAUAGCACUAGCUACAUGCAAAAAGUUUCAGGUCUAAAUUCAAACCACAAUUAAGUGAUGAAGAGAAGUCUUGUUCAAGUAGGGAAGGCAAAGGGUAAAUCAGGCAAAAUACCUGUUGUUGGCUCAUCUGCAAAGAUGACUGAAGGACUAGCAAUCAGUUCACAUGCUAGUGAGAGGCGCUUCUUCUCACCCCCACUUAUACCUCGAACUUUCGCAUCACCAACAAUAGAAUCAGCACAAUUGACCUAUCCAACAAUCCAAGCAUUAAUACUGUUCUCGAAACUGUUCGAUUCAAUUUCUUGAAACACUAACCAAAACGGCAGCACUCACCAAUCCCAGACGAAACAAAAGAUCAUUUACAUAGCGCUCCUUCCUCUCAGGAGCCCACGUGUCAGUAAGCUGGAGUUCAGCAGCAAGCGAGAGCGUCUCCCGCACAGUAAGCUGCGAGAAGAACAGGUCUUCCUGCCUCACGAAAGCAAUCCUUCACAAGGGAACAGUCAUCAGUUCUUUACCCUGAACAAGAACAGAAAUAAGACCCCAACUGCAUGAGUAUAACUUACUUGUAACCAGUCUUCGAGAUAGGCCGGCCAUUGACAUACAGAAAGCCCGAAAGAUGCAAGGAAGGCGAAGCUGUGAGCUGCCCUGCUAGCACAUUGAGCAGAGUCGUUUUGCCAGACCCGGAUGGCCCCAUGAGCGCUAGCAGCCUCCCUGGUUUUGCCUCCCCUGACACAUUUGACAGCAGAAACCUUGCCUGGCAAUUGACAAAUGCCCAACAUGUCAUAAUCGUAUAUUUGUAUAGUAGAAUGCAAUUAUCUACUCCAGACACUUCAACUAUACAAAUCACGCGAUCUAUUCUACACCAAGGGAGUGACGGUCAACGAGUCAACGGCCCCAGUGCCAACCAAUCAUUAGAGUACACUUGGCUCUUCACUAGCGGCACUAUCACUGAACUGCAAAUCAAAGGAGAGGACGAUAGAGGCCAAUGCGAGGGUUUCGCACGCGCCGCUGCGGCGAGAUGGGAUGAGUGGUGCCGCCAUGGCGGCGGUAUCGACUCACCACUUCCCCGCGCUUGUUCUUCAGCGCGCACGUGAUGCGGGCCCAGCGGAUGGUCACGGGCGGCACGCCGCCGCCUCCCUCGCCGGCCUCCGCGUCGGUCUCGUCGCCCUCCGUGUCCUCCGCCGGCGGGAGGAGGGCGGGCCCGGGCCCGGCGAUGGCGCGGACGAAGAGCGCCGCGGCCAGCGCCGCCAGGAGCUGCCCCAGCCCCCUGACCUCCAUCGCCCUCGCCGGCGCCGAGGGCGAUCCCUCCACGGUCUGGAAGGUUCCGCAACGUCCGGGAAGGCGGCGGGGAGUGGUGGCAAGUGGCAGCGGGGUUGUGAGGGGGUUUAGCCUCUGCAGUCUGCGGGGUGUGAGGUGAGGAGCAGUUCGUGUGGUGGUGGUUAGUUUGUUGCGGCGUCAGCAGCAGAAGGAGAUGGGGGAAGGAGACGGAUGGGUGGCUGAACUGGGCCUUUUCUGGUGUGGGCCAGGCCGUACGUUUGUUUUUAGCUCGUUGCGCUGGCCUGUGAGGAAGUGGGCCAGGAUUGGGUUCAGGUUGGUGGCCAAGUGGGCCUUUGACAUCGACUAGAGUUGACGUCAAUGCAGGCGAGCAACCCGUCCGUGUCACUGAGCUAUCAUACGCAUUUUGCUAAAAAAAAGCUAUCAUACACACAGCCCAAUUGUAGCAGGCUAAUUUCCGUCCUUGGACCAUUUCGAUGUGUUUCUCUUCCGUGUUUCUUGGACUGAGCGAAUACGUUAAGAAAUGCUGGACGUUACUUUUGUGUACAUGAGGCGAUUGGGUGAGGAUAGUAGUGGUUUUCGACAUCUGAUGAUGAUCUGAUCCACGUCACGAUACAUCACACAUGGGUUUUAUCUGCGCCGGGCUGCUGCUUUUUUGUUGUAACGUGCGAACGAGUGAGGAGUACCUAAAUUACGAGAAAAGAUGCGAAAUGUGGCGCAUAGCUAAAUCAUCCCACUUAAAUUGGCCCUUUUGUAGUUUUGUAGCAACCACGUUCCAUAUGACAAUGAGAUUCUAAUAGAAAACUCGUACAAUAUACCACUCCCACUCUUCUACUUGUGGAUGGAAUCACCCUCUACCGAUCCCAUCUCUCAUUUCUCACGUCUCAUUGGGGCCACCUGUCAUGGUCUCUUUCUUUCAUGCAUAGGAGAUUAGGAGACUAUGUUAUGUACAGCUGAUUGCUGAACAUGCUGCUGAGUGCUUGACUUCCUCUAAUCCGGAUUCUAAAGCUGACUUCCUUCCGGAUCACCUGGCUUUAUAACUAGCUAGAUACCGUAUGAAGUCUUCUGCAGUUCGCUUCUCCUGCUCUCAAAACCCGCCAAAAAGAGGAGCAAGCGAAGAUAGUGUGAUGUACAAGUUAAGCAAGGUGAUCGAAGCGGAUUGCGGCCGAAGGAGCCAAACGGAAGAUUCGCAAUUGCAACUCCGCUUCGCUAAGAACGAAUUAAAAAUCGCCAAGCUGGCGAUGACGCCUGAGCCACCCUCUAGAAGCUAGAAGCGUCACCGCUGCUCGCCUCUGCCAGCCGGGGCCCACCAGGUGGACUCACGUCCUGCGCGAGGGAGAAAAGCCUACUCCUUUUCUUCCCAGCUACCCCCUCUUACCGCGCCCCCUGGCCCACGCGUCAGUGUCGCGUGAGGUGAGGCCGUGAGAGCGAAGCAAGCGCCGCUCGCUCGCCCCAUCCGACAGCUGACCCCGUGCACUGUCCGCUCUGACCCGCGGGACCCGCGCCCCCUGCCCUCCCACACGACCCACGCGCGCCCUCCCACUGACCGCGGGACCGGGGCCGGUGGGACCCGGGCGCCAGCGGCGCGCGGCGGUUCCCCUUGGUUGCGGUAAUACAAAGCGACAGGCGCCUCACGCUCGCGUCCCUCCUCUCCUUCCCCCACCCCUGUCUCUCUCUCACCCGUCUUGGGCCUUGUCUUCCCCGUGCCAAGUAAAAGAGCGAAACGCACACGCAGACGCGAGCAGGAGAGAUACACAAGAGCGCGCUGCCUGCGCGGCGGCAUCCCGAUCUCGCAUCCCCCCCAAUCCCCCUCCCCGAUGCGAUCUCGCCAAACCCUGAUCCCCCCGCCGCCCGCCACCCGGCCCGCGCCGGAGCCCUAGCCCCGAAUGCGGCGGUGGUGACGCGCGCGCCGCAGCGUCGCCCGCCACCACCGCUUUUUCCCAGCCCAUCCCACCCCGCCCGCCGACGCCAUGGGCGCCGCCGACAAGUGGCUGCUCCCGCUCGUCUCCGUCUCCUUCGUCUCGCUCCUGCUCUUCCUCUCCGCGCUCUCGGGCUUCUCCGCCUCCUCCGCGCUCUUCGCGCGCCUCCCGCCGCCCUCCUACGUGCGCAGGGGAGCCGCCGCGCCGCCCUCCUUCGCGUACCUGCUCGCCGGCGGCCGGGGCGACGGCAGGAAGCUCCUGCGGCUGCUCCUGGCCGUCUACCACCCCAGGAACCGCUACCUGCUACACCUCUCCGCGGACGCGCCGGCCUCCGAGCGCGCCGAGCUCGCCGCGGCCGUCGCGCGCGCCGCCCCCGCCGUGCGCGCGUUCGGGAACGUCGACGUCGUGGGGAGGCCCACCGCGGGCACCCCGAUGGGGUCCUCCGGCCUCGCCGCCACGCUCCGCGCGGCAGCCGCGAUGCUCCGGCUGGAUGCGGAGUGGGACUGGUUCGUCACGCUCAACGCCGCGGACUACCCUCUUCUCACGCAGGACGGUAAGAUUCGAAUGCUCGGCCUUCCUUCUGUUAGCGCGAUCUGUUCGAGCAAGGGGCAUUUCUGCUAACGCGGUCUUGUCCGGAUCUAAGGCAAAUCUGAGCUCCUUACUUGUCCUUCGUACAAUACAAGGAAAGUCGUUUCCUCAAAAUUGAGCUUGGGGAGACUUUCUAUUCUUGAAUUGGAGGCGGAACACGCUGUACGAACAGAUCAGGAAACUGCAAGGCGAGCAACCGCCUCUGUUCGGUUGAGGGGUCGCUGUAGCUAGGAAAAUCGAAUUUGUGUUCCUCACAGCAUGUUGCUGACUUCGUUUUAAGUGGUGUUUAAUGAUAUCUGUCAAGUUUGCAUAAUUGAAUGCGUAUUAUGCCGCAAAGGACUGAGGCAACACUACCCCACCUCGUCAGCAAUGAGCUAAGGAUUUUAGCCUUUUAGGUGGUUUUGGAAGAACUUGCUUGUUUGGAAUCCUGUUGGACUGUGGUAUGAUAACUGCCUUAGGUGAAAAUAUAGUACAACUACUAGAUUGGCAUGCUUUUGUCUUCUUCAUUUUCAAUGUUCCUACAAGCUCAACCACUCUCUGACUAAUUUCUGAUCCCAUCCUUAGACUGAUAUCCUCAAUUAGGGUUCUUUUCAUCAGAGAUGAGCUAUGCAUUUAGGUGAUUUUUGAAGAACUUGCUUGUUUGUAAUCCUGUUGGACUGUGAUACAAUAGCCGCCUUAGGUGGAAAUAUAGUUCAACUACUAGAUUUGGCAUGCUGUCUUCUUCAUUUUCUAUGUCCCUACAAGCUCAACCACUCUGUGACUAAUUUCUGCUCUCAUCCUUAUACUGAAAUUCCUCAAUUUUGGAGGUCUCGAAUUUAGGAUGCACUUUCCGAAGUGCUGCCACUUUUUAGGAUCAACGCUUUACACUGCUGAUCCAAAAUUGGAGUGCAGAUCUGACAUUAACAAAGGAAAAUAUGGGCAUGCGAAACCGAUUUUGGGUGGAUUUGUCGACCUCCCGCAAUUUUGAAGCAGAUUUCAGUCCGAAACUGCGAUCUGUCAAGGCUAAAGAAUCUUCAUAUAAUCAAUCCAGCUGCAAACGAACUACACGUAUACAAAGCCUACGAUAAGCUAUGUACUGGACUGGACACAUUGGCCCAAAGGAACCAAAAACAAAAAAC